This 924-nucleotide long non-coding RNA is filed under the name Sorghum bicolor (sorghum). Its description in RNAcentral is "long non-coding RNA (SBIC_LNC017829)". The record is from RNAcentral. Lineage: Eukaryota; Viridiplantae; Streptophyta; Magnoliopsida; Poales; Poaceae.
ACAUCAUAUAAGCCCCAGCCAUACUCUCCAUAUGAUCAUAUGGGCGAGGCAAAAGUGCAUCCCUUCUUAUCACAUGUUCCACUGUAACUUCACAAAACUGCUUUCCAAGAGGCUCACCUCCUACGAUGGUCCUCGGAUUAACAGAAAGGACAGUUCCCUUAGCUACAGGUUGAUUAGGCCUCAACAUAGCAAAAAGUAUCACUUCCUUUCCAACCUGAAGUAGAUGACACAUGCAUUAGAAAUACACAAAUCUGAGGAACAAAUAUUAAAUCACAAACAUAAACUUAACAAGAGGAUGGAGAACAUUACAAGCCCAUCAUGUGUAAAGCGAGAGGCAUUUUCAUUUCUUGCUGUGUUUAUAGCGUUCAUGCCAACAGAUACUGGUGCUCACGUACAUCACUAGCCUCUCCCCAUCACUAGCCUCUCUCCAAAAUGAGUUAACACAUUUUCUACAAGGACAUAAUAUCUUGUCCCCUACUGCUGAAUUUCUAAAUGCAAAAGCCAAGAAACCGUUCACUCCUUGUAAAUAUUUCUUUGUGUGCCUACAUGGAAUGUAUUAUGUAAAAUCUCAUGUUCACUACAUAACACUUUUAACAUUUGUAAACUAGUUGUGUUGUACCUAGGCUCAUUAUUGAUCCAUGUUUUAUCCAUACGCCUUUACAGGAAGGUCAGACUGCGCUCAAAUUAAAUCUUUUCAGAGAGAAUACAACCACACAAGACAACCUUUAAAAAAGCAAUGUGACAAAGUGAUUGGAACUUGAGAAACAAGAUCAUACCGUUGCACAAAGCUCCGACACCCAGCAACUAUGAAUAUUGUAGUUCUUCAAAAAAAAAAAAUUCAAACUGCUUGCAGCUACAGGUUCUGCUCCUGCAAAGGUAGUAUGCAUCAGAUACAAAUUAUCAAGAAAUGGAGACAACAGGCCA